UUAACACAUGCAAGUCGAACGGGCUCUUCGGAGCUAGUGGCGGACGGGUGAGUAACGCGUGAGAAUCUGCCUUCAGGAGGGGGAUAACGACUGGAAACGGGCGCUAAUACCCCAUAUGCCUCCGGGUGAAAAGUAAUUCGCCUGAAGAUGAGCUCGCGUCAGAUUAGCUAGUUGGUGGGGUAAGAGCCUACCAAGGCGACGAUCUGUAGCUGGUCUGAGAAGAUGAUCAGCCACACUGGGACUGAGACACGGCCCAGACUCCUACGGGAGGCAGCAGUGGGGAAUUUUCCGCAAUGGGCGCAAGCCUGACGGAGCAAGACCGCGUGGGGGAUGACGGCCUAAUGGUUGUAAACCCCUUUGCUCUGGGAAGAAGACUGACGGUACCAGAGGAAUCAGCCUCGGCUAACUCCGUGCCAGCAGCCGCGGUAAUACGGAGGAGGCAAGCGUUAUCCGGAAUUAUUGGGCGUAAAGCGUCCGUAGGUGGUUAUUCAAGUCUGCUGUCAAAGCGUGGGGCUUAACUCCAUAGAGGCAGUGGAAACUGAGUGACUAGAGUGCGGUAGGGGUCGAGGGAAUUCCCAGUGUAGCGGUGAAAUGCGUAGAUAUUGGGAAGAACACCAGUGGCGAUAGCGCUCGAAUGGGACUGCACUGACACUGAGGGACGAAAGCUAGGGGAGCGAAAGGGA
Molecule: ribosomal RNA, 683 nt
Filed under: uncultured organism
Description: bacterial SSU rRNA
Rfam family: Bacterial small subunit ribosomal RNA
Source: RNAcentral